RNAcentral lists this unclassified non-coding RNA (258 nucleotides) under uncultured fungus. RNAcentral describes it as "partial contains 18S rRNA, ITS1, 5.8S rRNA". The record is from RNAcentral. Lineage: Eukaryota; Fungi.
GCAGAAGGAUCAUUAGUGAAGAUUUGGGCAGGCCAUACGGACGCCACAAAGUGUCCCUGGCCGCCUACACCCACUAUACAUCCACAAACCCGUGUGCACUGUCUUGGAGAAAGGCUUCAGAGAAGUUUUUUGUGGCCUCUCUUGGGGUCUUUCUUCGCUACAAACUCGAAUGGUUAGUAUGAACGUGGAACUUGGUUGGACCGUCACUGGCCAACAAACUAUACACAACUUUCGACAACGGAUCUCUUGGUUCUCCCA